AGCAGGUGCGUCCUCCACCUGGAGCUUGUCAAAGACAGUCAGGAAGAACUUAAAGAGGAGUUGGUUACCUGAGGCAGAUGCCAGAUUAUUUUGCUCACGACUGAAAGUUGCAUUCUCUUGUUGAACUCUCCUCAGGACUCCCUCUGUGAAUCUCCUCACUGCUCCCCUGGCCGUCUUCCUGGAACCACCUACCUGGUUUUCCCAUCGCUCACUCACCUGCCUGUCCACCUUCCAACUUUCACCACUCCAACCUGGAAAUGGGACAAAGAGACAAUCGCCAACAAACCCCAUUCACCAAUCCCCUGUCAACCUUAGCUACUGUGGAUAAACUCACCUCCUUCUGGAACACCAUCUUGUCCUCUUGCUAUCCUGGACUGCAGCCGUUAACCUGGAAGAAUCAUCUCAUAGGAAUACAUUUACCAAUAAACCUUUCAAACUAUCUCUUGGUGUCCAUGACUGUUGCCUGCACUAGAGACUCUCUCCUUAACAAACAUGACACAGAAUAAGUAAAGACAUAUUUCUGCUGCCUACUAAAGAUUUGUCUUCUAUUAAUUGGCAGAAAUUCAAUGUUGU
Molecule: long non-coding RNA, 573 nt
Organism: Girardinichthys multiradiatus
Lineage: Eukaryota; Metazoa; Chordata; Actinopteri; Cyprinodontiformes; Goodeidae
Exons: 3
Source: RefSeq, a predicted model, not a curated record